GUAGAUGGAUGACAACACUUUUAUCAAGGCAGGUUGGAGCUUCAAGUGCUUCAAAAGAAAGAUAUGAAAGAGGAGAGGCUGGGUGCCUGAAAUACUGGAGCAAAAAGAGCAGACUGACCCUGGCCAAUGGUUACAUUUUGCUUUGUAAGAGACUCUCAUCUUUACCUGGAAGUUGAAAACUGACCAGAAUGAAGGCUCUUUGGUGUGAAGGCAUGCAGAUAAGCCAUUCUUCCUCCCUACAUGAGCUACAGGUAGCAACCAGGCCUUUCAAGUCCUCCUGAAAACCCAUGGCCAGUUUCCUAUGGUGGCAGUCUCUCUCUGCUACUAGCUAUCCAAUGGCAUUGCAAGGACUGCAAAUAGUUUCCAUAUCCACCCAGUUCUGAAUUCAUAAGAUAACAAAUUCCAUCCGAACAUCUGUGACAUUUGGGUUCUGAAACAGUUUCAAAUACCAUGCUGUUCAUUAGUUGGGAUUCAAUUUCCUGUACCUCUCUGCUGCAGUUUUGCUUCAAUGCAUACAGUAUGCAUAUUCAUUAAAAACAACAAUAAUAAAGUUUUGCCUGAAAAAGAAGGGUGUGCAAAUAAAAACUGCCUGGGGCCAAGCUAUGUUCUGUGUUCUGGACAUUUAUAUAACUAUCUGCAGCACACUUCAGUUAAAUAAAUAAAAAAAGACAGAUUUACCAUA
Gavialis gangeticus (Gharial) is the source of this 682-nucleotide long non-coding RNA. RefSeq lists it as uncharacterized. The transcript has 3 exons. Lineage: Eukaryota; Metazoa; Chordata; Crocodylia; Gavialidae. The record is from RefSeq and is a predicted model, not a curated record.